CCAACGGCCCUCUUUAGGGCCACAUACGAAGUCCGAAUACGUGCG
This is a non-coding RNA of Ancylostoma ceylanicum, 45 nucleotides long. Lineage: Eukaryota; Metazoa; Nematoda; Chromadorea; Rhabditida; Ancylostomatidae. The record is from Rfam.